Molecule: small RNA, 29 nt
Filed under: Bombyx mori (domestic silkworm)
Lineage: Eukaryota; Metazoa; Arthropoda; Insecta; Lepidoptera; Bombycidae
Description: ovarian small RNA-22774
Source: RNAcentral
UAGGUCGUUCCAAGCAGCCUCCUUCGCCU